Molecule: ribosomal RNA, 198 nt
Filed under: uncultured bacterium
Lineage: Bacteria
Description: partial 16S ribosomal RNA
Rfam family: Bacterial small subunit ribosomal RNA
Source: RNAcentral
GUCUGCAACUCGACUACAUGAAGCUGGAAUCGCUAGUAAUCGCGAAUCAGAAUGUCGCGGUGAAUACGUUCCCGGGUCUUGUACACACCGCCCGUCACACCAUGGGAGUCAGUAACGCCCGAAGCCGGUGACCCAACCAAACGGAGGGAGCCGUCGAAGGUGGGACCGAUAACUGGGGUGAAGUCGUAACAAGGUAUC